CACCCGAUCCCAUUCCGAACUCGGCCGUGAAAGCCUGCAGCGCCGAUGGUACUUUGUCUUAAGGCACGGGAGAGUAGGUCGCCGCCUGGUC
This 91-nucleotide ribosomal RNA is filed under the name uncultured alpha proteobacterium HF0070_34A12. Lineage: Bacteria; Pseudomonadati; Pseudomonadota; Alphaproteobacteria. The record is from RNAcentral.